Molecule: long non-coding RNA, 216 nt
Organism: Leptopilina boulardi
Lineage: Eukaryota; Metazoa; Arthropoda; Insecta; Hymenoptera; Figitidae
Exons: 2
Source: RefSeq, a predicted model, not a curated record
GAUUUAACCAGAAAUAAAAAAAAUUCGUUUUGAGGUUAUAAACACAGUCAAUUCAACAAUUAAUUUUGUUUUGUUUAUAAUUAAACAUUCAAUUGUAUUUGUUUACAAAUUCUAUGUAUAUACUAAUUAAUACUCAUUGUUAAUAUGAAUCACUGCGAUUAUGCACAGUUUACAAACAACGAAAUCUACAUAGUAAGAAACAAAAAAAACGAAAAA